This is a long non-coding RNA of Capsicum annuum, 1048 nucleotides long. RefSeq lists it as uncharacterized. The record is from RefSeq and is a predicted model, not a curated record. The transcript is spliced from 4 exons. NCBI's taxonomy places the organism in Eukaryota, Viridiplantae, Streptophyta, Magnoliopsida, Solanales, Solanaceae.
UAACACCACAAGAAAUUACUCCUAUUGCAACAAACCUUUUGACAAUGGUUCCAAAAGUAUUGCUAUAGAAGGUCUAUUGCAACGGUUGUAACCGUUGCAAAAAAAAAAUUAUUGUAAUAGAGCUAGUUGGUACUACAACCGUUGCUAUUGAUGGAUAAGCGUUGCAAUAGGGUGUCUUAUAGCGACGGUUGGAUGAAUCGUUUCCAUAGACACACCUAUGGCAAAAAUCAUAGAGAGAGAAAUCAAAUCUAAACAUUCUUCUUUGCGAAACACUCCUUUUCCCUUUCCCCUCUUUCCUCCUCCACCACCUUUCUCCCGUCUCCGUCGAGCACUGCCAGUUCAAGGGUUUCAACGUCGAUGAUAUCGACGACUUUGUUGACCUUGAUGAACCCAUAUCUGCCGCAUAACACCUCCGUCCUCCUCCCUUAGUGGCCACUCAAGUUACAUCUUGCCGUCCAACCCGAAGCCUGCGUCGAUGUCCUUUGAGAAAUGGGAUGAAGAUGAGUUAGCAGCCUUUCUCAUAUGACAAUUGUAAGAAAGGUUCAGAAAUCACUAGCAAAUUUAGAAGUGUUGCAUUCGACUGGUUCGGGCAAAUCUUUUCAUACCAACUGCUGUGGGCCCAAAUUUGCAAAAUAAGGUCAUAAAGAGCCAGUUUUUUGUGGAAUGCUUUUUAGAGAAAAACAAGCACACAUUCCUCGAUUACUUGGCAUGGGGUUAUGAACUUAACUUCAUGGUGGCCAUCGACUUUACUGGUUCUUUCUUCAUCGGGAUGGAAGAAGGGUGAUCUUUUUCUGGAUGAUGUUAACGCUCAAUUGAAGAAAAAGAAUAUUACAACUGACAUUAAAUUAGACUCAAGCUCCAAUGUGAGUUCUACAAUUCUCUCUUCUAUUUCACUGCUUAUUUUGUCAUCCCAUUUGUGUAUGGUGCUCUUGGAUUUCUGCUCAUCGUCUUUAGUGGUCAUUUGACAAUAUAUAAAUUCACAACCUUUUCUGAUUUAAAAUACCAUGUUUAUAUUUAUAGCCUUCUUAUCAUUUGCUUUUAGGGUAAU